CUCGGCCAAUCGAGGGAGAGGAGCGGCAGCCGCGCGCGGACGCGCGCCAAUCGGCGGCUCCCGCGUCUGAGCCAAUGGGCGCGCCCGGCGGCGGCGCGCGUUGUGUAACGCCGGCGGCUGGAGCUGCUGCGGGCGGCGCUGUCGCCGGCGGCGACACGGCCGGGGCGGGACGCGCUGCGUGACGGCAGAGGGUUUGAAAUCCUCCAUAUCACAGGAAGACUGGCAGACUGGAGGUAUCCAGUGGAAGGACACUGAGGGAGCUGCUGGAGCUCAUGGUAUGCAAGGAGCAUAGGCUGCCCAGAAGCUGUGAGACCUCCAGCCUUGAAGAUAUUAAAAUCCUGAUAAGACAAAAUCACGUGAAGUGGAAGCAUUGGGUUUUGCUCUUUGAAGGCAAAUCAUCAUCAAACCAGUCCAAUGCUGGAUACUACUGGCCAAACUUAGGAAGAGACACAUCAUUCCUCAGCAACUGCUUCAGCAAAGUAGCUGUGCUAUGUGGAGGAUCUUCUACUGAAUUUGGUAGCUUCAUCUUGGUUGAGAGUUGAAAUUAUGUUCUUUUUUUUUCCCUUUUUUUUCUUUCUCCCCCUGCCUCUUCCCUUCUUUUUCACUAGAAGUUUUCCAAAAUGGCAAAUCCAAUCAGAGUUAGAAGCUCAUUAACCAUACAACUAAUAGCCAUGCUGUGAGACUUUAAAGACCCACAAGUUAUUAUAAAAGAACAUGUUUAUCAAAGUGUGCCCUGAUGUUGGCUGGGGAGCCAACUGUAGCCCGCUAACAAAGGGGGCAAGGUUUUCACUAGGCUGUGGAGGUGCCUGCAACAUGGAAAAAAGUUGAUUCUGGGAUGUAGGAUAUACAGAUAUAAAUCAGUGCUGUGCCAGGCACACCUGCCUGGUGGAACAGCAGAUUGCCAAGCUUAGCUGACACAUGAUGACAAAGCAGCAUUGCCUGGCUCCACAUGGCCAAACCAGUGACUUGCACUUGCUCAGUGGCCAGGUUGCACUUGUGACCAAAGGUGCUAGUGAUGCUAAUGGGGCAUAUAUCACAUAUAAAGAGCCCAAAGUGGAAGAAGUACAUAUAACUGCAGGAGGGGAGGAAGGCCAGGGUGCAUAGGAUUUAUGCAGAGUGGGAGGAAGUGAGCUCUGGAAGGCAUCUGGUCCAACCCCGCUGCUCAAGCAGGACCACCUAGAGCUGGUUUCUCAGGUUUUGAACAUGUCCAGGGUGGGGGUACUCCACAGCCUCUCUGGGUAACCUGUACCUGUUAUCAGUCUCCCUCACAGAGAAAAAGUGUUUCCUGAUGUUCAGAGGGAAGCUCCUUUGUUUCAGUUUGUGCUCAUUGCCUCUAAUAUUGUCACUGGGCACCACUGGGCAGAGCCUGGCUCCAUCCUCCUUGCACAGGCCUCUCAGGUGUUUAUGUACAUUGAUGUGAUUCCCCCUGAUUCUCCAGGCUGAACAGUCUCAGUUCUCUUGGCCUUUCCUCAUAGGAGAGAUGCCUCAAUCACUUCACCACCUUCAUGGCCCUUCACUGGACUGUCUGCAGUGUCUCUCUUUGACUGAGGAAUCCAGAGCUGGAUAUAGUGCUCCAGUUUUGUGUCAUCUUCAAAGUUACAGGCUACACUCUGCCCCAUCAUCCAGAUCACUACUCAAGAACAGGAAUGAACCCAGUAUUAAGCUCUGGGGUACACUGUAUGUCAUUGGCAUCCAACUAGACUUCAUACUACUGAUCACCGCCUUCUGGGUCCAGCUGUUCAGCCAGUUUUCACUCCUCUGCUCAUUGAGCCCUCACUUUAUCAGCAUGUUUAUGAGGGUUUUAAGGGAAACAGUGGCACAGCCACACUGAAGGCAUGGUAGACAAUACUCGCUUGCAUCCUGUCAUCUACCAAGCCAAGCAUUUCAUUACAGCUGCACUCAAUUAUCUUAAUGUUUUUUUCUCAAACUAAAUGAUUCUACUGUUGUAUGACUGUGGGAGGUCAUCAGGGCAGUCAAGAGUGACUUUCCUUUGUGAUUGAAACACUAAGAUGGCUGAGGAGCAGGGUUUUCCUGGUUUGAGGCAUUGUAGGAGGUGCAGCACCCCUACACAGGGCUAGGAUGGCUCUUGGGUACACAGAGAUUUUGACGUGCAACCCAUAGCCUGAUGAGAUACAUUUGUUUAUAAGCUGAUGGAUACCUUGAAGAUCUGGUUUUAAGUUAUGCUGCUAAUUGUCAUCUAUAAAACACAUUGCACAUCUGGGGUCAUUGUCACUUGCUUGGUUUUUUUUGUGAUUAUUCUGAGUGGUUACUUGAUCAGCUGAUCUUUCUGAAGCCAGGGCCGUAGCACACUAUCAAAUUUACCAUGAGCUUUUGGCUAAAUCAAUGGGGAAUUUUACCUAAAAAAUCUAUGUCAAGGAAGGACCUGCAUUUUAUCUUUUUAAAUGCUUUGAGGAAAAUGCUUGGUGUGGUAAUGCCACUUAAAAUCUGCCAUUGAUGAUCAAUGGCUUGAUAAAAUAAACAGAUGUUUUAUAUCUGGA
Long non-coding RNA from Pogoniulus pusillus (Red-fronted tinkerbird), 2498 nucleotides. RefSeq lists it as uncharacterized. The record is from RefSeq and is a predicted model, not a curated record. The transcript has 4 exons. Lineage: Eukaryota; Metazoa; Chordata; Aves; Piciformes; Lybiidae.